CUUUAUCCCCCAUGUGACCUUUUUGAAGAGUUUGAGAGAAAAGAAUAGGAGACUAUUUGAGGGCAUUGUAUCUAAUGUUGCUAGCACAAGAGAGCACUAGUUUCACACCUUAAGUCUAUUUUAUUCCUAUGUCAUUCCAUGCUUGAUAAAGUCUUAGAGGAGCUAGUUGAUUUUUUAGCUACAGCUUUUGCGUAACUUCUACUUUCUUUAUUUUGUAGCUUUUGUAAAUG
RNAcentral lists this long non-coding RNA (230 nucleotides) under Carica papaya (papaya). Its description in RNAcentral is "long non-coding RNA (CPAP_LNC010794)". Lineage: Eukaryota; Viridiplantae; Streptophyta; Magnoliopsida; Brassicales; Caricaceae. The record is from RNAcentral.